CUAAUAGAGGCGCGGAUAACAUCAGUAAUCGGGUAUCUUUAAGCGGCAAGGCUUCUCCCGACGAAAGGGUAUAUCCGCCGAAACUUCGUUUUUUCUUGUCCGAAACGGAGUUGGGCGCAGGUUUUAAGAGGUCUGCGACUGUCAUCGAAAGAUGGAGUACUAUUAG
RNAcentral lists this non-coding RNA (166 nucleotides) under chicken gut metagenome. RNAcentral's name for it is "Lysine riboswitch". It matches the Rfam family "Lysine riboswitch aptamer". From Rfam's summary of the family: Riboswitches are metabolite binding domains within certain messenger RNAs that serve as precision sensors for their corresponding targets. The record is from RNAcentral.